CCUACGGGUGGCAGCAGUGGGGAAUAUUGCGCAAUGGGGGCAACCCUGACGCAGCAACGCCGCGUGAUUGAAGAAGGCCUUCGGGUUGUAAAGAUCUUUAAUCGGGGACGAAUUUUGACGGUACCCGAAGAAUAAGCUCCGGCUAACUACGUGCCAGCAGCCGCGGUAAUACGUAGGGAGCAAGCGUUAUCCGGAUUUACUGGGUGUAAAGGGCGUGUAGGCGGGCACGCAAGCCAGAAGUGAAAUCUGAGGGCUUAACCCCCAAACUGCUUUGGAAACUGCGGGGCUUGAGUGCUGGAGAGGCAGGCGGAAUUCCUAGUGUAGCGGUGAAAUGCGUAGAUAUUGGGAGGAACACCAGUGGCGAAGGCGGCCUACUGGACAGUAACUGACGCUGAGGCGCGAAAGCGUGGGGAGCAAACAGGAUUAGAUACCCCUGUAGUC
This 441-nucleotide ribosomal RNA is filed under the name uncultured bacterium. Its description in RNAcentral is "partial 16S ribosomal RNA". It matches the Rfam family "Bacterial small subunit ribosomal RNA", at positions 338 to 795 of the family's 1533-position model. The record is from RNAcentral.